AUUAGACGCGGACAAGAGAUGGAACAUGCCACCAUAGCGUCAUCAGUCAUGUCCGAUAGGGCAAGGCACAGUCAUUCGCCAGCCAAAAUAGCAUUAGUUCACUAACUCGUGUGGGUUUUAUUGCAACUCCCCUAACUCUGCUUAGCCUGAUGAGUUGGUGUAACGGCCGAUGAUUUUUCUGGCGUCGGAGGGAGAUGAGCAAGGAAGAGGUCGUCUAGGACAAGGAACCAGCCUAUGCCGCUGUGAUUCUAGUCGAUGAAGAGGUUGUGGGGGAGUUGAUGAAGAGGAAUAGGGAUGAGGAUUGUGUGGUUCUUGACCUCGGUGUGACAUGUUCCAUGGGGCACCAGUUCUUAACUAUGCCUAGGCAAUUCCUGUAAGUUCCGAGUUUUGAAACGACAAGGUCCUUUCAAGCCUUGUUGGUUGCGUCACUUCCAGUCUUGUUUCAGGUUUCAAGUUUAUUCCUAAGCUGAGACUCAUAAGGAUCAAAUGCUUAUCCGCGAGACCGGCAUAUUCAAUAUUCAGUGCUUCAUUGUCUUCUGGUGCUGCCACAGUACCUGGAUACAUUUGAUCCUAUGAUCGGCUCAGUCUGGUAGGCGCCUCCAGCACUGGCAACGUAUCUGGGUACCUUAUCCACAUGAAAUGAAGUCUUGAUUCGAUUUGA
Physcomitrium patens is the source of this 661-nucleotide non-coding RNA. NCBI's taxonomy places the organism in Eukaryota, Viridiplantae, Streptophyta, Bryopsida, Funariales, Funariaceae. The record is from RefSeq and is a predicted model, not a curated record.